Molecule: long non-coding RNA, 382 nt
Filed under: Numida meleagris (helmeted guineafowl)
Lineage: Eukaryota; Metazoa; Chordata; Aves; Galliformes; Numididae
Description: lncRNA (ENSNMEG00000016006.1)
Source: RNAcentral
UUUAGAGAAGCACUGCUUCUUCCAGCCAAGAGGCAAGAAGAUGCUCCCCAGGUUUCUUCCAAUUACCCAAGUUCUCAGCAAAAAAGAUUGGAGCAAUGAUGUGAGACAUGGAAGACUAAGCUUAGGCUGAAUUAGAUCCCACCUACACAUCCUGGUGCUACUGACUCAUCCUGCAGUUCAGCUUGCCCUCUGGAGACAUUUAGCUCUUCCCACCGACCGAGAGCCCUGCAGAAGGGAGCCAAUUGCUGGAGGUGCUUGAGACAAGCAGUCAGGUCUGCCCCAUCUAUGUAUUUUCUUGGUGAGUAGUACACGGCAGUGAUGAAGUCUCUGCAGAGUUGAUACAGGACAUUGCACUCAAGAAAUAUAACUUACAGUACUUCGG